This 242-nucleotide unclassified non-coding RNA is filed under the name fungal sp. RNAcentral's name for it is "partial internal transcribed spacer region". The stretch from base 1 to 46 matches the Rfam family "Eukaryotic small subunit ribosomal RNA", at positions 1786 to 1831 of the family's 1831-position model. The record is from RNAcentral. Lineage: Eukaryota; Fungi.
AAGUCGUAACAAGGUAACCGUAGGUGAACCUGCGGUUGGAUCAUUAAAAAAUCCAGAGGUCGGGUCAGGCUCGCUUGAUGCCGAUCUCUAAAACCGGUCUUCGGACCUUCAACCUUGUGUGAACCGUUAUUGACGCUGGUCAGAUUACCUUUGGUGCUGGCCAGUUUAUUUUAAACUUUGUUUUGUUUUUCUUAAAAGUAUUCGAAUGAGUACAACUUUUGACAAUGGAUCUCUUGGCUCUC